RNAcentral lists this non-coding RNA (31 nucleotides) under Mus musculus (house mouse). The record is from RNAcentral. Lineage: Eukaryota; Metazoa; Chordata; Mammalia; Rodentia; Muridae.
UCCCAGGUAGUUAAACUGUUGAAAAUGGAGU